CCCCAUACAAAUGAAACUAAGCGUGUUAGGAGCAGGAGGAGAACCUCGUCCUAACAUGAGCAAAGUUGAAGGUCCGGUUUCCUAAAGAUCGGAUGGGGGGAGAGGCCCUUACAACGGCCCUUAUGUGCCCCCACAGCUUUGUUAGGAACAGGAGGAGAACCUCAUCCUAACAUGAGCAAAGUCGAAGGCCCGAUUUUCUA
Molecule: long non-coding RNA, 200 nt
Filed under: Elaeis guineensis (African oil palm)
Lineage: Eukaryota; Viridiplantae; Streptophyta; Magnoliopsida; Arecales; Arecaceae
Description: long non-coding RNA (EGUI_LNC066117)
Source: RNAcentral